Molecule: ribosomal RNA, 650 nt
Filed under: Burkholderia cepacia
Lineage: Bacteria; Pseudomonadati; Pseudomonadota; Betaproteobacteria; Burkholderiales; Burkholderiaceae
Description: bacterial SSU rRNA
Rfam family: Bacterial small subunit ribosomal RNA
Source: RNAcentral
ACCUGGUGGCGAGUGGCGAACGGGUGAGUAAUACAUCGGAACAUGUCCUGUAGUGGGGGAUAGCCCGGCGAAAGCCGGAUUAAUACCGCAUACGAUCUACGGAUGAAAGCGGGGGACCUUCGGGCCUCGCGCUAUAGGGUUGGCCGAUGGCUGAUUAGCUAGUUGGUGGGGUAAAGGCCUACCAAGGCGACGAUCAGUAGCUGGUCUGAGAGGACGACCAGCCACACUGGGACUGAGACACGGCCCAGACUCCUACGGGAGGCAGCAGUGGGGAAUUUUGGACAAUGGGCGAAAGCCUGAUCCAGCAAUGCCGCGUGUGUGAAGAAGGCCUUCGGGUUGUAAAGCACUUUUGUCCGGAAAGAAAUCCUUGGCUCUAAUACAGUCGGGGGAUGACGGUACCGGAAGAAUAAGCACCGGCUAACUACGUGCCAGCAGCCGCGGUAAUACGUAGGGUGCAAGCGUUAAUCGGAAUUACUGGGCGUAAAGCGUGCGCAGGCGGUUUGCUAAGACCGAUGUGAAAUCCCCGGGCUCAACCUGGGAACUGCAUUGGUGACUGGCAGGCUAGAGUAUGGCAGAGGGGGGUAGAAUUCCACGUGUAGCAGUGAAAUGCGUAGAGAUGUGGAGGAAUACCGAUGGCGAAGGCAGCCCCC